CCUUCAGGGCGCCACAAGACCUGUCUUUCGAAUUUUAACAUAAUAAAUACAAAUGGGAUCAGAACGUGAGGGGGCAGGGGCCACGUGAUCCCUACACGAAAGACACUUG
Choloepus hoffmanni (Hoffmann's two-fingered sloth) is the source of this 109-nucleotide non-coding RNA. The record is from Rfam. NCBI's taxonomy places the organism in Eukaryota, Metazoa, Chordata, Mammalia, Pilosa, Megalonychidae.